Long non-coding RNA from Marmota monax (woodchuck), 363 nucleotides. RefSeq lists it as uncharacterized. The transcript has 3 exons. NCBI's taxonomy places the organism in Eukaryota, Metazoa, Chordata, Mammalia, Rodentia, Sciuridae. The record is from RefSeq and is a predicted model, not a curated record.
UCUUCAAAAUUUUCUGUGUAGAAGAUAAUGCAAUGUGCAAUGGAAAAUGAUUUUACACCAUUAUUCGCAAUCUGGAGGACUUACAUUCUGUUUCUUCAUUUUCUUUGGUAGAACCUCUAGGAAAAUGUUGAAGUUCACUGUGUUGCUGAGGAGUACCAAAAGUGUUUGUAGCUUCUCCACCUCUCUCCAGACCCAGUUUUUGUCACUGUUGAACCAGAUGGAUGCUUAGCUCUGUCAUAAAUGGUGCGGACUCCUUCAGUACACCUUAAUCAUUGAGACUGGAGACUUUAAGAUGGAGAGAUACUGGAUUCCAGUGAAAAGAAAAAGAACAAGAGGAAGCCUCCAAUGGAAAGAAGAGCCUGU